RNAcentral lists this ribosomal RNA (360 nucleotides) under Triticum aestivum (bread wheat). RNAcentral's name for it is "partial small subunit ribosomal RNA". Lineage: Eukaryota; Viridiplantae; Streptophyta; Magnoliopsida; Poales; Poaceae. The record is from RNAcentral.
AUGGGGACUCGUCUCUCCUUUAGCACCGCUUUCCACCCUCAGUCGAGUGGUCAAGUGGAACGCGUCAACCAGAUUCUAGAAGACAUGCUUCGAGCCUCUGUUAUCUCAUUCGGAAUGGACUGGGAGAAGUGCCUUCCAUUUGCCGAAUUCGCUUACAACAACAGCUAUCAAUCUAGCUUGGGUAAAGCCCCUUUUGAAGUUCUCUAUGGACGACGGUGUCGAACACCCCUUAACUGGUCAGAGACCGGGGAAAGACAAUUCUUUGGCCCGGAUAUGAUUCAGGAAGCAGAAGAACAAGUUCGUAUCGUUCGUGAAAAGUUGAAAACAGCCCAAUCCCGUCAAAAGAGUCAAUAUGACUGA